Molecule: ribosomal RNA, 253 nt
Filed under: uncultured bacterium
Lineage: Bacteria
Description: partial 16S ribosomal RNA
Rfam family: Bacterial small subunit ribosomal RNA
Source: RNAcentral
UACGGGGGGGGCAAGCGUUGUUCGGAAUUACUGGGCGUAAAGGGUUCGUAGGUGGCCCGCUAAGUCAGACGUGAAAUCCCUCAGCUCAACUGGGGAACUGCGUCUGAGACUGGCAGGCUCGAGUGCAGGAGAGGAACGCGGAAUUCCAGGUGUAGCGGUGAAAUGCGUAGAUAUCUGGAGGAACACCGGUGGCGAAGGCGGCGUGCUGGACUGUUACUGACACUGAGGAACGAAAGCCAGGGGAGCAAACGGG